AGUGAACGCUGGCGGUAGGCCUAACACAUGCAAGUCGAACGGCAGCACAGUAAGAGCUUGCUCUUACGGGUGGCGAGUGGCGGACGGGUGAGGAAUACAUCGGAAUCUACUUUUUCGUGGGGGAUCACGUAGGGAAACUUACGCUAAUACCGCAUACGACCUACGGGUGAAAGCAGGGGAUCUUCGGGCCUUGCGCGAUUGAAUGAGCCGAUGUCGGAUUAGCUAGUUGGCGGGGUAAAGGCCCACCAAGGCGGCGAUCCGUAGCUGGUCUGAGAGGAGGAUCGGCCACAUGGGAACUGAGACACGGUCCAGACUCCUGCGGGAGGCAGCAGUGGGGAAUAUGGGACAAUGGGCGCGAGCCUGAUCCAGCCAUACCGCGUGGGUGAAGAAGGCCUUCGGGUUGUAAAGCCCUUUUGUUGGGAAAGAAAAGCAGCAGGUUAAUACCCCGCUGUUCUGACGGUACCCAAAGAAUAAGCACCGGCUAACUUCGUG
This 492-nucleotide ribosomal RNA is filed under the name uncultured bacterium. Its description in RNAcentral is "partial 16S ribosomal RNA". It matches the Rfam family "Bacterial small subunit ribosomal RNA", at positions 29 to 507 of the family's 1533-position model. The record is from RNAcentral.